Molecule: small nuclear RNA, 107 nt
Organism: Artibeus jamaicensis (Jamaican fruit-eating bat)
Lineage: Eukaryota; Metazoa; Chordata; Mammalia; Chiroptera; Phyllostomidae
Source: RefSeq, a predicted model, not a curated record
GUGAUCGCCUCAGUGGCACGUACGCUAAAAUUGGAACAGUACAGAGAAGGUUCGCAUGGCCCCUGCGCAAGGAUGAUGCGCAAAUUCGUGAAGCAUUUGUAUUUUUA